UAUUCUUGCUUCAAGCCAGAUGACAAGGUGU
This 31-nucleotide non-coding RNA is filed under the name Rattus norvegicus (Norway rat). The record is from RNAcentral. Lineage: Eukaryota; Metazoa; Chordata; Mammalia; Rodentia; Muridae.